GAACGAGAAAGUGGAGCAAUCCAUGAGUAAAGUGGCGACNCGGGUGAGUAACACGUGACUAACCUACCUUCGAGUGGGGGAUAACCUCGGGAAACCGAGGCUAAUACCGCAUAACAUCGCAAGAUCAAAGCAGCAAUGCGCUUGGAGAGGGGGUCGCGGCUGAUUAGCUAGUUGGCGGGGUAACGGCCCACCAAGGCGAAGAUCGGUAUCCGGCCUGAGAGGGCGCACGGACACACUGGAACUGAAACACGGUCCAGACUCCUGCGGGAGGCAGCAGUGGGGAAUUUUGCGCAAUGGGGGAAACCCUGACGCAGCAACGCCGCGUGGAGGAUGAAGCCCUUUGGGGCGUAAACUCCUUUCGACUCGGACGAUAAUGACGGUACGAGUGGAAGAAGCACCGGCUAACUCUGUG
RNAcentral lists this ribosomal RNA (412 nucleotides) under uncultured bacterium. RNAcentral's name for it is "bacterial SSU rRNA". It matches the Rfam family "Bacterial small subunit ribosomal RNA", at positions 64 to 507 of the family's 1533-position model. The record is from RNAcentral.